RNAcentral lists this ribosomal RNA (324 nucleotides) under uncultured eukaryote. RNAcentral describes it as "partial 18S ribosomal RNA". It matches the Rfam family "Eukaryotic small subunit ribosomal RNA", at positions 1470 to 1796 of the family's 1831-position model. The record is from RNAcentral.
CCCUUAGAUGUUCUGGGCCGCACGCGCGCUACACUGAUGCAUUCAACGAGCCUAUCCUUGACCGACAGGUCCGGGUAAUCUUUGAAUCUGCAUCGUGACGGGGAUAGAUUAUUGCAAUUAUUAAUCUUCAACGAGGAAUGCCUAGUAGGCGCAAGUCAUCAGCUUGCGUCGAUUACGUCCUGCCCUUUGUACACACCGCCCGUCGCUCCUACCGAUUGGGUGUGCUGGUGAAAUGUUCGGAUCGGCCGUUUGUCGCGGUUUCCGCGUCAUGUGGCUGAGAAGUUCAUUAAACCCUCCCACCUAGAGGAAGGAGAAGUCGUAACA